Molecule: ribosomal RNA, 497 nt
Filed under: uncultured Pseudomonadota bacterium
Lineage: Bacteria; Pseudomonadati; Pseudomonadota
Description: bacterial SSU rRNA
Rfam family: Bacterial small subunit ribosomal RNA
Source: RNAcentral
UGGGGAAUAUUGGACAAUGGGGGAAACCCUGAUCCAGCCAUGCCGCGUGAGUGAUGAAGGCCUUAGGGUUGUAAAGCUCUUUCACCCACGACGAUGAUGACGGUAGUGGGAGAAGAAGCCCCGGCUAACUUCGUGCCAGCAGCCGCGGUAAUACGAAGGGGGCUAGCGUUGUUCGGAAUUACUGGGCGUAAAGCGCACGCAGGCGGUUCGGUUAGUCAGAAGUGAAAGCCCCGGGCUCAACCUGGGAAUUGCUUUUGAUACUGCCGAGCUUGAAUCACGGAGAGGGUAGUGGAAUUCCGAGUGUAGAGGUGAAAUUCGUAGAUAUUCGGAAGAACACCAGUGGCGAAGGCGACUACCUGGCCGUCGAUUGACGCUCAUGUGCGAAAGCGUGGGGAGCAAACAGGAUUAGAUACCCUGGUAGUCCACGCCGUAAACGAUGAGUGCUAGAUGUUGGGGUGCGUGCACCUCAGUGUCGCAGCUAACGCGUUAAGCUACCG